This is a non-coding RNA of Pelobates cultripes (western spadefoot toad), 3845 nucleotides long. NCBI's taxonomy places the organism in Eukaryota, Metazoa, Chordata, Amphibia, Anura, Pelobatidae. The record is from the annotation of a GenBank genome assembly.
CAUACACACUGCCCCUUAUACACCCACACUGUCCCCAUACACAAACACUGCCCCCAUACACACACACUGCCCCCCCAUACACACACACUGCCCCCAUACACUGCCGCCCCAUGCAGACACAUUGCCCACACUCACACAUACACUGCAAUACUCACACACACACACACACACUGCAACUGUUACACACACAUACUGUACCACAAAUACACUGCAUCCCUGACAUACACUGCCGCCCUCACACACACUACAACCUUCACACACACACACUGCUCACACACUGUCCCCCUCACACACACACACACUGCACCACUCACACACACCACUGCUCCUAUGCCCCACUACUGCCCCAUUUCCCAGCAAACCUCAGGUAAGUUGUCAAACUGUUCUUAAACGGUUUGACUACUUACUCUGGGAGGGGGUACCGGCACUAUUGACACCAUAACCACUACACUGAGCUGUAGUGGUUAUUGUGUCUGGAUUAUUUCUUUAAAUAAUCUACAAGUGCCCCACCCGAGAUCAGGCUCUGGAUCCGCCACUGCUUCCCGCACUUGUGAACUGGAAUCCGCACCGGAGUAGGGCAGCCCGCAGUUAUUGUAGCUCCUGUCCUUAAAUUGUACCUGGCCAGCCCAGUCCUCACUUGACCCCCAUGGAAGCCACCCACACUGCUAGAUAUACACAGAGCUGCAGAAGACGCCUCCCCUUCAUACAAAUAAUACAAUCAGCAAAUACACAAACAACUCCACAAGCAGCCUCUCACAUGCAAUACCACAAGCAGCCACACACAUACACACAACACCAAACACAAAAUGUGACGUCAUCCAUACACACAAUUUCACAAGCAGCUCCCAUGCACAUCCCACAUUCAUAGUUAUCAUACACAACACCACAAACUACUCAUGAACAUAUACAAUAUAACGGCCCACAUACACACAAAUACAACAUUACAAAGCAACUGCAGCACCCACAAAUAACACAAACAAAAUACGGCAACCUACACACCUCAGUUUAAAUAAAUAGGACUGGCUCAACAAGGGAUUUCAAUAUCUUGUUUUGCACAGUACUACUAAUAGGUUGACUACCCCUGCACUAGUGAAUACUUUAAAUGCAGUGGAAGCUAAAUGUGUCCUUUCUGGUUGAAGGAUUUGUUAUUAUUAUGUAGCUAUAUAAAGAUUGAAUGCUUGGCACCUUCAUGCUUCGUGAAAUUGUAAUCUGAUUUUUGAGUGUAAAUGCAUUUUUAACUGGCCCUGGUCUUCUCAUGUUCCUCAAUGACUAGUUAUACAUUCUAUUAAUUGCUCUUAAAUGAACAUUCUAAUUUUAGGAAUACACACGUGAAUUCCUGCUCUUAUAAUGUGUUCCUAAACAGUUAGUUGCCCCUCACCCCUCCGAUAAGUAAAAUAAAGUUAUUUUCUUACCUUACUUCCCUUGGUGUGCUGGUCUCGCCAUUGCCACCACUCCUCCUCUGAUUGAGCUCAUUAUUACUGAAGUUCUCAGUCAAUCCAAUGUUUUCCCAUAGGAAAGAACUAAAGCGCACGCGCAGCAAUCACCACUAUGUGCCAAUCAGCAUCUCCUCACAUAGAUGCACUGGUUCAAUGCAUCCAUAUGGGGAAUGUUCAAGGUCUUCUUGCAGAGCAUGAAGACACUGAACAUCAGUCUUGCAAAGAUUGGAAGGGUCUCUAGUGGCUGUAAGAAUGACAGCUACUAGAAGUGAUCUUAGGCACAAAUGUAAACACUGCCUUUCCUCAAAAAAGGCAGCGUCUACAAUUGUCAUAUUAUAUGGUACAGGCACGAAGCAUGAAGCUGUAGUGACUCUGUUGCUUUCAGUGUUCCUUUAAUAAUUUAUUACCCCCAAAUCUCAUGGUCAUGGCAUUCUUAUCCAUGUAUACAUCUUUCCAUUUCCUAUGUUUUAAUGUUGAUAUUAUGGUUACUGUAUAAUCAUUUCUCCAUUUAUAAUGAAGGUAUAGUGAGAAGUCCAGUACCUCAACUGUUCACAAUAAAAAAACAAAACCCCAAAACAGUAUAGAAAGCAACACAAUGUAAUAAUUAAAAGGGCACAUUUUAUUUACCAUCAGAUGCUGUUCAUUCAUGAAUCUCAUUAUCUAUAGCUACAUGACUUGAAAUGGUUAGAGCAAAGUUUUUUUUUGACUCACAAUUAACUGCUUUAAUCGUACAUUCCCCUCCACAGCUGUCCCUACAUCACUUGGACAGUUCUCAUCUUAUUACUGACACAGCAGACAGAUAUCCACUUUUCACACAAAUCAAACCAACAUUUCAAAUAACCAGAGAGGCACUUUUCUCAUGGGGCAUAGCUGAAGGUGUGAUUGAAGUGAGGUCCCUUUCUAGUUUUUAAUAUUAUGUUUUCUUCUCCCAUAUAUUUACCAAAUAUGUGUUUGCAAGGUCUAAAAAAGAAAAUGAAAUAUAAAUAUCCACACUGCUGUGUUUACCUUUUGCACCAAAAUAAGCUCUUUCACACGUCAUGUGUCCUUAAGGGGUUAAGCAAUAUUGUUCCAGCAGAAAAGCAAUGGUUUACAUAACAGGGUUAAAAAGAGAGGGACAUAAGUUAGGCCCAGUUACCAAAGCCUUAUGAUUUGGUGUCCAGAAUAAAGUGGAGGGUUUACUUCACUUGUCCUUCCUGCUCCAAUCUCCUUUACUUCUCCUUCAUUUGACACAGUCUUCUUUUUCUUCUGACACUAUCUUCUUUCCUCCUUGGCUCCUUCUGCUCCUUUACCUUUCUGCUUCUUUUACGCCCUUCAGCUCCAUUCUCUUUCCGAUCCCUUUCUGCUCCUUGCGGACCUUUUCUACUCCUUCUCCUACUUUACCUUUGUGCUCCUUGCUGUCCCUUCCUGCUCUUUCUCCUACUUUACCUUUGUGCUCCUUCUGCCCCUUCAAGCUCCUUGCUACCCUUUUCUGCUCCUUCUCCUACUUUACCUUUGUACUCCUUGUGAUUCUUUCUGCUCCUUUACCUUUGUGCUCCUUCUGUCCCUUCUUGCAGACCAUUCCUGCUCUUUGCUACCCCUUCCUCCUUCUUGCUGACCGUACCUGCUUCUUGCUGACCCUUCCUGCUCAUUUCUGCUCCUUAUCCUACUUUACAUUUGUGUUUCUUCUGGCCCUUGCAGCUCAUCGCUGACCCUUUCUGCUCAUUGCUGCCCCUUCCCGUUUCUUUCUGCUCCUUCUCCUACUUUACCUUUGUACUCCUGAUUCUUUCUGCUCCUUCACCUUUGUGCUCCUUCUGAUUCUUUAUGCUCCUUCACCUUUGUGCUCCUUCUUCCCCUUUCUGCUCCUUGCUGACUCUUUCUGCUCCUUGCUGCCCCUUCCUGCUCCUUGCUGCCCUUUCCUGCUCCUUGCUGACCCUUCCUGCUCAUUCUCCUACUUUACGUUUGUGCUCCUUAUGCCCCUUCCAGCUUAUUGCUGACGCUUGCUGCUCCUUGAUGUCCCUUCCUGCUCAUUUCUCUUCCUUCUCUUUUCUGCUCCUUGAUGUCCCUUCCUGCUCAUUUCGGUUCCUUCUCCUUUCUGCUCCCUACUUUACCUUUGUGCUCCUUCUGUCCCUUUCUGCUCCUUGAUGCCAUUUACAGCUCCUUGCUGAUCCUUCCUACUCCUUCCUGCUCCUUGCUUCCAUUUCCUGCUCCUUGCUGACCCUUCCUGCUCCUUGCUGCCCCUUAUUGCUCAUUUCUGUUCCUUUGUGCUCCUUCUCCUAGGCUGCCCCCCAUGUCUCACUUACCUGAUCUGUAGGCUGCCCCCCAUCUCUCACUUACCUGAUCUGUAGGCUGCCCCCCAUCUCUCACUUACCUGAUCUGUAGGCUGCACCCCAUCCCUCACUUAACUGAUCUGUAGGCUGCCCCCAUCUCUCU